UCGCCAGACUCCUACGGGAGGCAGCAGUGGGGGAUAUUGCACAAUGGGGGGAACCCUGAUGCAGCGACGCCGCGUGGGUGAAGGAGUAUUUCGGUAUGUAAAGCCCUAUCGGCAGGGAAGAAGCAAGACGGUACCUGACUAAGAAGCCCCGGCUAACUACGUGCCAGCAGCCGCGGUAAUACGUAGGGGGCGAGCGUUAUCCGGAUUCACUGGGUGUAAAGGGAGCGUAGACGGCCAUGCAAGCCAGGGGUGAAAGCCCGGGGCCCAACCCCGGGACUGCCCUUGGAACUGUGCGGCUAGAGUGCGGGAGGGGCAGGCGGAAUUCCUGGUGUAGCGGUGAAAUGCGUAGAUAUUAGGAGGAACACCGGUGGCGAAGGCGGCUUACUGGACCGUAACUGACGUUGAGGCUCGAAAGCGUGGGGAGCAAACAGGAUUAGAUACCCCUGUAAU
Molecule: ribosomal RNA, 450 nt
Filed under: uncultured bacterium
Lineage: Bacteria
Description: bacterial SSU rRNA
Rfam family: Bacterial small subunit ribosomal RNA
Source: RNAcentral